AGCUAACGUUGCUUAUGUGUUAGCUUAUUCUGGUGUGAUGUCACGAAUUGGAAAAGAGCAGAAAAGAUGGCCUGGGGACAGCAAGAACAACGACGAGGAACGGACUAGGAAUUUAGACCACUCCUUGGGUACGACAAGCCACGCACUAACAAUGCCCCUGUGACUGGUGGAACGCCUCCCUUUGGGCUUUCCAAUCAAAUGUGGCCCCAUGUGGACCUGCACGUCCUAACAACAGACAGGCCAACGUGGACUUCUAAGGGGAGCUUUGUGCUCUGACAAGAGCUCAAUGUAUCCACCCAUGACACAUGACCGAAGGAAAGGAUUUUUGAUUUCAAAACAGCAAGAACAAUAUUUAUUGUUCAUCUUGUUUUCUGCUUCCUCAACAGUACAAUUGUAGAGUCUAUUCAAUGCACUUUGCAUUAAGCUUGUGUUUUGAGUUAGGAACAAGAGGAACGGGACUGUGAACAACGAAAAACAGUCAGUAAUUGAUGCACCCGUUAAAAAUGUUUAUAAUUGCUUCUAUUAAUCGUUUAAACUCUAAAUAUACUACAUCACAAAACAAUUUAGUGUAAUUUCAAACUCAUUUUACAACAUUACCCGUAAACAUGAAUGGUUUACAAAUAGGCUUACAAAACAAAACAUACACGUGACAAAGACUCUCCUACACUAACAUAUAAACUUAGCUCCUCCCUGACAUGCAAAGAUUUUAAUCUCUCAGUCGAGCUUAUUCUAACCUAUUUCCAUAACACCAAUUACUAGUUUCCUCCUAGACUGGAUGUCGGGGCCAUUUUAUGGCAUCUUAGGGCAUAAAAAAAAAAAAAAAGUGAAAAGAUAAGGUUUUCAGCCAAUAGUUGAGGAUAUGUUCCACAAGAAAAAAAACACCAGAAUGUGAAUUAAUUAUUAGUAAACCGUUCACUGUAUCACCAAAUAUUCCGAUGAAAACAAUAAAUGCAUUACAAACACGUGCUUAUUCAUUGGACACUGACGGUAAAUAUUGAAGCUCAAUGUUCAUAUUCAAAAUGAUUUAUUUGUGAUAAUAAUAAUAUUUCCUCACGAGCUUCUGAGCGUGUCCAAUAAGGCUGUGCAUUGUUCUCUCUGUUUUUAAGUCACGCAAGCUCUUGCAGUCAGUCUGAAAGUGUUAGACUUCCAUCGUGAUUUACAAGUCUGCGUGUGACCUUCUCUUUUUAUAAUGUGAGCGUGUAAUUCUCUGGAGUUAAACGUCAUGUUAGAUCAGAGGAGCUACUCGUGUCCUUAUCCCAGGAGUGCAUAAGCAGCAGUGGCAGUGGUUCAGAGGUUCCUUUUAAGGGCACCAUUGUCAUGAGCUUGAUGCAUUUCACUCACUGCGGUUGUCCGUGAUUGCACACAAGUGUAGUAAUACAUUGUUAAAAAAAACAAAACAAAACAGAUAAAACACCACCUUGGAGGUCACAAAUAGAAAACCCACUCCAAAAACAGCCAUUUCCUGCCUCAGAAAGACUCUCUAAAGCAUGAUAUACUGUACCGUAAACGAUAUAUUUUGCCACAAAAAACGAGAAUAAAUUUACCAAAAUGUCAAAGUGAU
This is a long non-coding RNA of Phyllopteryx taeniolatus (common seadragon), 1561 nucleotides long. RefSeq lists it as uncharacterized. The record is from RefSeq and is a predicted model, not a curated record. The transcript has 3 exons. Lineage: Eukaryota; Metazoa; Chordata; Actinopteri; Syngnathiformes; Syngnathidae.